UAUAAGGACCUCAAAUUCUUUUGGAGCACAGACUUGGGAACCCUGUUCUGGGACCUGAUCCCUGGUUCAAUCAGAAAUAGCACAUUAUUGCAAGAAAGACUGUUCUCAUGGUGUUUGCAUCCUGCUGGAAUCACUGGACAUCUGAGAAGGAGGAAGCCUUUUCUUACAUGACUCCAGCAGAUGCAAAAGGUUUGGAGGUAACUUAGAUAAGGGUAUGAGAAAAAAGCUGCACCAUAAAAAACACAACUGGGAGGUUACUGAUUAAAAGUGAAGAAUACAAGACAGGAACAACUGUUAGGCUAGGCAGUUGUUGAAGAUAAUUCAAGCAUCUGAAGCAAGCUGAAUUGAACAGCAAGUAAACAAAUGAGAAGAACACCCCAUCCUUCCUCUUAUUUGAACGCUGUGCAGUUAAUGGAGAAUGUGAUCAACCAGUCCUUCCCUUGAUGCCAGGGCAAACUCUUGUUAAUUCACGUUGCCAGUCUUCUACAGAGCAACAGCACUACUUGCCCUUCCACUUGCCUUUUGUUUGGAUAGCUAGUGGCACUGCUCAGGGAGAAAGUAAGACGCAAUGGAUCUAAAUCUCACACCUGGGUGGUAUGAAUGGGUGUUCUGCAUACACUGUCCUGGGAGGACAGGGUAUCACUGACAUUUUGGUUGCUGCAGUAACUCCACUAUGAACAAAAAAUCUCUUCCCAGUCAGUACACAGAGAAGAAUAUGAAGAAGGUGCUUUGCAGUCCCUGCUAUAUUGUGCUGUUUGUUGUAAAAACAGGAUAAGUAACAGCCAGAAAAAGAUGGAGUUGAGGGUUUCUCCACCCCCAAGUCUAUUUAUCCCUCUUGUCCUCUGAGCAUCACCUUUCAGAUAGCCAGCUAACAGCAUCUGUGAGCUGGAGUUCUUUGUACCUUUUCCCUAGACCAGAAUUAUCCACCUUUUCAAAACACAAUUUGUGAGAUCUUCGGUUAGUGUAAAUCAGCACAGAUGAAUUGAUUUCAGUGCUCUGCAUAAGUCUGGUGACUUGCAUUGACUUCAGUAGAGCUAGCCAAUUUACACCAGCUGAGAAUCUGCUCCCAUAACACGAACUCUUUUAAACCUGUACGUGUAACCUCAGUUCUUUAUUCAGUUCUUCCUAAGGCACAACUCCAGUUGAAGUCCAUCAUUUUUGCCCAAGCAAGGGCUGUUGUACACCAGAAAAUUAAAUUGACCCUAGCUAUGUUGCUCAGGUUGUGAAAAUCCACAGCCCUGAGCUGAGCUAAAUUCUCCAGUAGUCAGUGCUAGGUUGAUUGGAAGAAUUCCUCAGUCGACCUAGCUCCUGCCUCUCCAGGAGGUGGACUACCUUUGCAGACAGGAGAACCCCUUCCACUGGCAUACAUAGUGUCUAUGCUGAAGUGCUACAGCAGUGUGGCAGCAGCAGUGCAGUUGUGUUGCUGUAGCAUUUCAAGUGUAGACAAGCCUUAAGUAAGAAGUAAAGAAGUGAGUAAGGACUUCAGGUUUGGGAGCCUUUUUUAUUGUUAUUCUUUAAUUAUAUAUCUUGUGAGUCGUUCACUUCUUGGAUGUUUAUCCAUAUGAAAAGUUUUGCCUGACUCUGCAUGCUCAAACAAAACCAAAACUAUUGCCACAAGAGCUGUGAACUCAGAGAUACAACUGAGGAAUCUCUGAGCCAUUGAGAAGCCUCUCUGAAUCUCUCUCUAUGUCAAAUUCAUACCCAUGGUAAUACAUCUGAGUGAGACAUCUGCACAAUUGGCUAGCUAGAGACAGUUAGGUACCAAAAUAUCUACCCUGUCUUCUGGCAGGCAUAUUACAUCACUAUCCAAAGUAUUGCACAUUUCUGAACUAGUCUGGCCUAUCUUUUUUUUUAAAGCCUAUUGCUGUAAAAUAUGCUUCAACACACACAC
Molecule: long non-coding RNA, 1891 nt
Organism: Dermochelys coriacea (leatherback sea turtle)
Lineage: Eukaryota; Metazoa; Chordata; Testudines; Dermochelyidae
Exons: 4
Source: RefSeq, a predicted model, not a curated record